RNAcentral lists this ribosomal RNA (393 nucleotides) under uncultured bacterium. RNAcentral describes it as "bacterial SSU rRNA". It matches the Rfam family "Bacterial small subunit ribosomal RNA", at positions 28 to 410 of the family's 1533-position model. The record is from RNAcentral.
AGCGAACGUUCGCGGCGCGCUUAACACAUGCAAGUCGCACGAGAAAGGGCUUCGGCCCCGGUACAGUGGCGCACGGGUGAGUAGCACGUGGGUAACCUUCCCGGGAGUGGUGGAUAACCUGCCGAAAGGCGGGCUAAUACAGCAUGCGACCGGCGCCCCUCGGGGCGGCGGUGAAAGCGGGCCUCUGCAUGCACGCUCGCGCUCCCGGUUGGGCCCGCGGCCCAUCAGCUAGNGGCGAGGUAACGGCUCACCAAGGCGACGACGGGUAGCUGGUCUGAGAGGAUGGCCAGCCACACUGGAACUGAGACACGGUCCAGACUCCUACGGGAGGCAGCAGUGGGGAAUCUUGCACAAUGGACGCAAGUCUGAUGCAGCGACGCCGCGUGGGCGACG